Long non-coding RNA from Cryptomeria japonica (Japanese cedar), 2168 nucleotides. RefSeq lists it as uncharacterized. Lineage: Eukaryota; Viridiplantae; Streptophyta; Pinopsida; Cupressales; Cupressaceae. The transcript is spliced from 6 exons. The record is from RefSeq and is a predicted model, not a curated record.
UCUUGGCGCUCAAUCAUCUGCCCUCUUCCCUGCUCCCGCGGCGGUAGCGGCAUGCAGUUAUCAACGCAGGAAGAAUUAGGCUUUGCCCAUAUUUUCCCAUCCGCUUCACUGACAGGAUAAAAUGUAAGGGUUUUUUAUAUGUAGGGGUUUUUCAAUGGAUGCAUGGCACCGGGCGCAUAGCUACUACAAUUUCCAUCUUGGCCCUUCGUCGGACAGCCCACUUCUUGCAAUCUGAUCUGCCCAUAUUUUCCCAUCGGCUUCUACUGCUCACUAUCACCAGCUAAGACACAGGCAAGUUCGUGUAUUUAAAAAAAAAAUCUUCUUUGGUAGGGUUCUGUAAUACGUGAACGUGUCUUCUUAGUGCCUGUAGAUCAUUUAUAUGGAUCAUUUGAUAGAUUCCCUCUCAAGAGAUGUUGUUUCAAUGAAUGUGGGGAAAGAGCAGGGACGACUGAGUCGUAAUAGCUGGUAAUUGGUUAUUUGAAUUCAUUGUCAUAUUCAAAUUCCGAUUUGAAAAGGGCCCUUUUGCUUCAGGACAUACCCAAAAUGCUCAACCUUUCCCCGUAAAAUUACUUCUUGUGGCUCCACAAAGAUGUUUUAGAUCUUCUUAGACCAUAGUUGCCCUAAUAAUGACAUAUUGUAAACAAGGCUUCUAGUAGAAGAAAGAAGCCCUUCGACAGGUGUUGGCGAUUUAGAUCGCUCAGGGGUUUUUUCGGUGUGGGACGGUCGGGAAUCUCCUGUGAGAGUGCGCUCUGCCAAAGAGGGGCUUAAGAAUCGUGGCCGUGUCAGCAAACCCUAACUUGCGAUGUUUUUUGGACUCUUCUUCCAUCAGUGUUGGCACUGGGAGUUACUUGCAGGCUACGUGACAUGGGGUUGGUGUUUCGGUGGCUGGGUUGCCUCCUGCUCAUCGGCCACGACACUCUUCAGAUUGUGGUGUUGGGAGCUCUGCUCUUGGCUCAAAUGUUGUCCCAUCGUCUCCACCCCUUGGACGGGAAAACUCUUCUAGGUUUGGCGAUCCUUGUCCCCUUGGUUCUGCUAUUCGCAAAUUAAAAUACUUGGAUAGGUUAUGUUGUGCAACGAGAUACUCUUUGGGAAUUCGAUCCGACGACCUAGUGGCUAUCAAUUGAAAAGAGGCUAUUAUGUCAAAGCUUGCAACUUUUAACAAUGGUGAAAUAAAUGCAGAACCAUCAUUGUUGAUAACUGCAGAUCAAAGCCUUGGAUAAUUGCAGCAUAGCCAGACAAAUUUCUGGUCUUAUUCUCCUCAUGCAGAAUUACAUCAUAUUAUUAGCGGUAAUUUAACCUAGAGGAUUAACAAGAGGGAAAUCUAUGGAGAUAAAAUGGAGUUUUCACAACGGUCUUGUUACGGUUCAGGGUAGUGCAAUUCUGAGGGUGACUUCAGAGAGCUAGACAAAAAAACUGGGUUGACUAUAGAUGAACAACUUUAAAUUUGAGUCUCUUGCAUCUAUUGUAUUCUUGAAUCUUAAAAGGUAUUUUCCUAUUUAGAGAGCAAUAUCACAAUCAAAUUAUUUUCAUUUUGAGUAUCUUGUGCCCUUUGUCAUUCUCUUUGUUCUUAGAGCUAGAGUUCUAUUUUCUAGGAACAUUUUAUUUUGAUAGUAUAAGUUGCUUCUUUUAUAAAAAAUAAUCUUGGGAUUUUGGUAUGUGCCUCUAAUACUACUUUUGAAUACAUAACAUCUAAUGGUUUCUUUCAAUAUAUAAUGAACUUUUUUUUGAUAGAAAAACUAUUCUACAUAUAUACUCAUCAAGCUAACUAAACCUAUAUCUCAUGACUGGACAUAAGAAACCUAUGGGAGGGCAGCUGAAAGGAGGUGAAAGGGACAUGAUUGUGAAGGACAAAAUUUUGACAUCAGGGUUAAGAUAUAUUGUCACCAAAGUUGCUAUAGUUUAGCUCAAACAUAAAUCUGGAGGUUCACACUGAGGAUUAGAAUUAGACCAUGUAGUUGCAAAUUCACAAACAUAAAUGUAUCAUUCAAAUUUUUUGUACAUUCUCUUUGUGUUGCAUAGAGCUGGCUAGAUAUUCUAAGGUUUUGUCUAAGAAACACAGUUAUUUUAUUUUCAAGGCAACACAAAGUUGUUUAAUACAAAAACACAAAAUGGAUUGCAAAAUGGUCACAUGUUCUCAAGCAUUAUUUAGACUUAAAACUCACUACUAA